Molecule: ribosomal RNA, 438 nt
Filed under: uncultured bacterium
Lineage: Bacteria
Description: bacterial SSU rRNA
Rfam family: Bacterial small subunit ribosomal RNA
Source: RNAcentral
GCUAAACGCGAAGAACCUUACCUACCUUUGAAUCCACGGAACCUAGCAGAGAUGUUGGGGUGCCUUCGGGAACCGUGAGACAGGUGCUGCAUGGCUGUCGUCAGCUCGUGUCGUGAGAUGUUGGGUUAAGUCCCGUAACGAGCGCAACCCUUGUCCUUAGUUGCCAUCAGGUUAUGCUGGGCACUUUAAGGAGACUGCCGGUGAUAAACCGGAGGAAGGUGGGGAUGACGUCAAGUCCUCAUGGCCCUUACAGGUAGGGCUACACACGUGCUACAAUGGGCAGUACAGAGGGAAGCCAACCCGCGAGGGGGAGCGAAUCUCAUAAAGCUGUUCGUAGUCCGGAUUGGAGUCUGCAACUCGACUCCAUGAAGUUGGAAUCGCUAGUAAUCGCGGAUCAGAAUGCCGCGGUGAAUACGUUCCCGGGUCUUGUACACACCG